CGCGGGGGUUGGCAUGGGGGAACCCUGAUCCAGCAUGCCGCGUGUGUGAAGAAGGUCUUCGGAUUGUAAAGCACUUUUGGCAGGGACGAUGAUGACGGUACCUGCAGAAUAAGCCCCGGCUAACUUCGUGCCAGCAGCCGCGGUAAUUAUCUGCAGCAGCCGCGGUAAUAAGGGAUUUUUUUUUCCCCCCCCCAGAGGGAGGAAAGAGAAAGAGG
RNAcentral lists this ribosomal RNA (215 nucleotides) under uncultured bacterium. RNAcentral's name for it is "partial 16S ribosomal RNA". The stretch from base 1 to 164 matches the Rfam family "Bacterial small subunit ribosomal RNA", at positions 356 to 538 of the family's 1533-position model. The record is from RNAcentral.